GCUGGUGUAGCUCAGUUGGUAGAGCCCUAGUCUUGUAAACUAGUUGUCGCCGGUUCGAGCCCGGCCACCAGCUCCA
Molecule: transfer RNA, 76 nt
Filed under: Olsenella sp. oral taxon 809 str. F0356
Lineage: Bacteria; Bacillati; Actinomycetota; Coriobacteriia; Coriobacteriales; Atopobiaceae
Also listed under: 1 other name
Description: tRNA-Thr
Rfam family: tRNA
About the family: Transfer RNA (tRNA) molecules are approximately 80 nucleotides in length. Their secondary structure includes four short double-helical elements and three loops (D, anti-codon, and T loops).
Source: RNAcentral